Molecule: long non-coding RNA, 149 nt
Filed under: Lonchura striata (white-rumped munia)
Lineage: Eukaryota; Metazoa; Chordata; Aves; Passeriformes; Estrildidae
Description: domestica (Bengalese finch) lncRNA (ENSLSDG00000010652.1)
Source: RNAcentral
CGGGCGGGGUGUGGGUGGCUGCAGGGACGGUGGACAUUUUGCGAGUCGCGGCUGCCCCCGGUGCGGCGGCCUCGGGUCACAUUGCAGGCCAAGCCAGAUGGGCAAGCAAUACAAGCUGUGAAUUUAUUCUUGACCCCGUAGGACAGUGA